GGGUUGGGUUCACAAAAAAGCGGGUUUGGGGCGGGUUGGGCUCCCGUGCUCCCAUCUCACGAGCGGAGCGGCUCCCUCACGCAAGCGGCGGCGCGAAGCUCAUCCGCCGCCAGCUCGCUGCCGUCGUCAUCGCGCCUCCGCUCCAGGCUCCAGCGUCGUCUCCUCCAACACCGGUAGCAGAUCCAGUAGAUCCAUGGAGGGGGAGGCAGAGUAGGCCAACGGCGGCCUCCCCGAGUUCCCGUUCGUGGCCGGUCAAGCAAGCCGAGCAGCUAGCGACGAGCUCGGCCAAUCGCCUGGACACUUGUCCCCUCCCGUUCCUGACCUGACCCGCAAAUCAAACGGGGGUCCAGGCGGCAUCGUCAUCCCCAACCCCUAGCCCCUUCUCCCAGCGACCUUCGGCCUCCGCUGCGCUCCGGCUGGAAUGACUUAUUGUUCCCGAUUAGCUCGAUGAUUCCACAAACACUUGAAGCUCUAGUUUGCUGCAAAGAUUGGCUUUAUAAAUACCAGUGAAGGAAUCUUUGAUCUGCGAGGCAUCCGUGUUGAAAAUGGUGAUCUCCAGUUCUUAAAGUUUGUGAUGCACCAUUGGUAAGCCAAAGACUAAUAUAGCUGGGCGGGAUUGUAGAAGCUCGUCAAGAAGUCAAAGCACUCAAUAGAGUACAGUCGAUCAAGCUGGCUGGGGAUGGCGAUUUGCUGAGAAGAAGCUGAUGAUCUAGGAAGCGAUACAGAGGAGAUGUCUUUUUCACUGGAUUUCUGUGGCUGUACAAGCUCUAAUUUUGCACCAUUACAUGUUCCUGAAACGAUCUAACAGUCGCAUGUGUGAGGCAUGGCUCUGUGUAUCUGAAAUCAUGAUUGACCUUGCAUAUGCUGGGUUUGCUUUUGGAACAUUGUCAUUCUGAACCUGAUAAUCGAUCUUCAGUGCGUUAUUGUA
Long non-coding RNA from Panicum virgatum (switchgrass), 928 nucleotides. RefSeq lists it as uncharacterized. The transcript has 5 exons. The record is from RefSeq and is a predicted model, not a curated record. NCBI's taxonomy places the organism in Eukaryota, Viridiplantae, Streptophyta, Magnoliopsida, Poales, Poaceae.